CUUUAUAUCAUUUUUAGAAAAAAAAUAAUAUCUUCAGUUCUCUGUCUCUUGAAGGAUGGGCCAUCGGUACCAAAUAGGAUGCCAGAUAUCAUAUUGAUAACAUCAGCAGUUGAUCGAUUGUGAUUAUCAAAAGUUUCUUCUAUAAGAGGCCUAUACUCCCAAAUUUUGGUUGGUUUGACAUAUUUAUCGAGGUAACCCUGAUGCACCAAAGUUUCUAUUUCAUCUCACGGCUGUUUGUAUUCCUCGGUAUCGUGCCCAUGAUCUCUGUGGAAGCGGCAAUACUUUCGUUUGUCUCUCUUCUCUAAAGGAGCCUUCAAAGUAUCAGACCUUCAGAGAUAUCUUUCUCCUUCUAUCUUCAUCAAAAUUUGAGCUCGAAGGACGGUCAGAGAAGUAUAAGCAUUAAAGCGCUGAGAUGGACUUCUUGACCUCAAAUUUUUUUGGGAUCGAUUCGAAUUUUUAGUCUGCUCAUCAUUCUCCCUCGAUCAUUUUUUCCUAUUCUUAUCCUUCUUCACCCGCCUUAAGAUAGCCUCUUCCUCCUUGGCUUGGGCGUAUUUACAUAUCCGAUCGAGCAUCUCAUCAUAGGUGAUCGAAAAAUUUUUAUUCAAAGAAAAAAUCAAACAGUUGCUUCGAAGUUUCUUUUCAAAGUAGACAUGAUAAUUGAUUCAUUAAAAUUUUUUACCUUCAAGAUGACCGCAUUGAAAUAAGCCACAUACUUUCGGAAAUCUUCUCCUUUCUGCUGCUAAACAGAGAAGAGACUAUCCACAUACCUCAAAUGAGAUCUGUUAGUGUCAAAAUAAGUGACAAACAAUCUUCCAAAUUGCUCAAAAGAAGAGAUGGACCCCAUUGGGAGUCUAGAAAAUCAAACUCUCAUUGCCUUCUUG
Molecule: long non-coding RNA, 881 nt
Filed under: Elaeis guineensis (African oil palm)
Lineage: Eukaryota; Viridiplantae; Streptophyta; Magnoliopsida; Arecales; Arecaceae
Description: long non-coding RNA (EGUI_LNC058672)
Source: RNAcentral